This 72-nucleotide non-coding RNA is filed under the name Bifidobacterium scardovii. RNAcentral's name for it is "Fluoride sequence". It matches the Rfam family "Fluoride riboswitch aptamer (crcB RNA motif)". The record is from Rfam by way of RNAcentral. Lineage: Bacteria; Bacillati; Actinomycetota; Actinomycetes; Bifidobacteriales; Bifidobacteriaceae.
UUGGGAUGCGGCGAUGGGACCCGCCUGAAACUUGUUUUCGAACCGCAUCACGCUGAUAGUUCCUGCACACGA